UUUAUUCUAAAGUCUGAAAAAGACAAACUACUCAAUAAUUCUCCAAUAAAAUUCAUUUCAUCAUUCAUUGAAAAACAAUAUUAAAUAAUCGGGUGAGGUGGCCUUGAUGCGUGGGUAAUUCAUUAGAAAGACAUCCGCCAUGCCAUCCAGAAGAUUAUGGAUGAAGCGUCUCCAGAAGACGACAACGGCUCACCACAACCCAACAAGACUGAACCGUCCGUGAACCGGAGGGAGAAGAGAGAAACCCGGCCUCCAGCCUGGUUUAGGAAUUAUGAAGUUUGAGGAACGACUAUUCCCAAAUUUAAUGGGAAAACUUAUUAAAUAAAUCUUUAGUUUUAUUUG
Molecule: long non-coding RNA, 342 nt
Filed under: Zostera marina
Lineage: Eukaryota; Viridiplantae; Streptophyta; Magnoliopsida; Alismatales; Zosteraceae
Description: long non-coding RNA (ZMAR_LNC002722)
Source: RNAcentral